GGAUGUGAGGGCGAUCUGGCUGCGACAUCUGUCACCCCAUUGAUCGCCAGGGUUGAUUCGGCUGAUCUGGCUGGCUAGGCGGGUGUCCCCUUCCUCCCUCACCGCUCCAUGUGCGUCCCUCCCGAAGCUGCGCGCUCGGUCGAAGAGGACGACCAUCCCCGAUAGAGGAGAGGACCGUUCUUCGGUCAAGGGUAUACGAGUAGCUGCGCUCCCCUGCUAGAACCUCCAAACAAGCUCUCAAGAACAUCUCUGACCCAUUUCCCAUUACUCAUUCCACACUGGACCCUUCAUUAUGGCUCACAUAGGCCAUGUACACUUCUACAUUGGGCCCUUUGC
RNAcentral lists this small nuclear RNA (336 nucleotides) under Neogale vison (American mink). RNAcentral's name for it is "Neovison vison (American mink) 7SK RNA (ENSNVIG00000018611.1)". It matches the Rfam family "7SK RNA". Rfam says of the family: 7SK was discovered as an abundant small nuclear RNA in the mid-70s but a possible function has only recently been suggested. Two independent studies have found that 7SK RNA binds the CDK9/cyclin T complex (known as elongation factor P-TEFb). P-TEFb activates transcription by phosphorylating the C-terminal domain of RNA polymerase II. Lineage: Eukaryota; Metazoa; Chordata; Mammalia; Carnivora; Mustelidae. The record is from RNAcentral.